UACGUAGGGGGCGAGCGUUAUCCGGAUUUAUUGGGCGUAAAGCGUGUGUAGGCGGUUUAUUAAGUUUAAGAUUAAAGUCCGAGGCUUAACCUCGGUUCGUCUUAAAAACUGGUAGACUUGAGUGUAGUAGAGGCAAGUGGAAUUUCUAGUGUAGCGGUUAAAUGCGUAGAUAUUAGAAGGAACACCAGUGGCGAAGGCGGCUUGCUGGGCUAUUACUGACGCUGAGACACGAAAGCGUGGGGAGCAAAUAGG
This 252-nucleotide ribosomal RNA is filed under the name uncultured bacterium. Its description in RNAcentral is "partial 16S ribosomal RNA". It matches the Rfam family "Bacterial small subunit ribosomal RNA", at positions 524 to 776 of the family's 1533-position model. The record is from RNAcentral.